Non-coding RNA from Pelobates cultripes (western spadefoot toad), 355 nucleotides. The record is from the annotation of a GenBank genome assembly. Lineage: Eukaryota; Metazoa; Chordata; Amphibia; Anura; Pelobatidae.
UCGAAACCAUUUUACAUCUCUAACGGCUCCAGACAAGGUUGCCCCCUAUCCCCACUGCUCUACAUCCUGGCACUAGAACCCCUUACCCAACUAAUCAGAGACAACCCCAAUAUCCAUGGAAUCAAAAUCAAGAACCGAGAAUACAAAUUAUCCCUUUUUGCGGAUGAUAUCCUACUUACCCUGGAACAACCGCAUAUCUCCCUGCCCAACUUCCACAAAAUUCUCUCGCUCUUCAGUGCCUGCUCUUACUACAAACUGAACGUCUCCAAAACGCUCGCCCUAGGCAUCAAUAUCCCAGACCAAGAACUUUCAACUCUCAAAGCUAACUUUAACUACGACUGGCGACGAGACCAUA